RNAcentral lists this ribosomal RNA (499 nucleotides) under uncultured bacterium. RNAcentral's name for it is "bacterial SSU rRNA". It matches the Rfam family "Bacterial small subunit ribosomal RNA", at positions 28 to 526 of the family's 1533-position model. The record is from RNAcentral.
GAUGAACGCUAGCGGCAGGCCUAACACAUGCAAGUCGAGGGGCAGCACGUCUUCGGAUGGUGGCGACCGGCGCACGGGUGAGUAACGCGUACGCAACUUACCUCCAAGCGAGGGAUAGCCCUGGGAAACUGGGAUUAAUACCUCGUGUGAUUAUGAUGCCGCAUGGUGUUAUAAUUAAAGUUCAGGCGCUUGGAGAUGGGCGUGCGUCCUAUUAGCUAGUUGGUGAGGUAACGGCUCACCAAGGCGACGAUAGGUAGGGGGCGUGAGAGCGUGGCCCCCCACACGGGUACUGAGACACGGACCCGACUCCUACGGGAGGCAGCAGUAAGGAAUAUUGGACAAUGGGCGCAAGCCUGAUCCAGCCAUCCCGCGUGCAGGAUGACAGCCCUACGGGUUGUAAACUGCUUUUGUUAGGGAGAAACCCUGAUUUANCGGGGGCUGACGGUACCUUUCGAAUAAGCACCGGCUAACUCCGUGCCAGCAGCCGCGGUAAAGUCAC